This is a long non-coding RNA of Aedes albopictus (Asian tiger mosquito), 450 nucleotides long. RefSeq lists it as uncharacterized. The record is from RefSeq and is a predicted model, not a curated record. NCBI's taxonomy places the organism in Eukaryota, Metazoa, Arthropoda, Insecta, Diptera, Culicidae. The transcript has 3 exons.
UUUCAGCAGUGAUUGUUUAUCUCGCCUCCGUUCAGGCAGGCAGACAAGCGUCAGUCUCAUUUAUUUCUCAUCUGUCGUCGACACUGGUCGUGCGUAGGCAUCCUCUACUUCUGUGUUUCAAACAGCCAUUCUGUUUUCUGUGAGCACACAAAAAAUCAUCAAUUUGGCACCAUAGACGCUUCGAUUUCACCGCAUCCGGCCGGAAUGCAAGCGGAUCAGUUUUCAUUCGUCGCCAAAGAGUCCGAAAUGCCAGCGGUAGCCACGAAACCCCCGUAGGGUGAUGGUACCGCUGGCUUUCGGAAAUAUGAUGACUACUUCUCGUGUAGAACUUUUAAGAUUAUAAUAGUAAAAUAUUAAUUAACGUUUGUGUUUAUAAUGACCAUUUUAAAUGUGCUUGUAACGUUAAAACAAAUAAAAACUAGAAAAUAAACAUCAGAACAGUAAAGCAAA